Molecule: ribosomal RNA, 253 nt
Filed under: uncultured bacterium
Lineage: Bacteria
Description: partial 16S ribosomal RNA
Rfam family: Bacterial small subunit ribosomal RNA
Source: RNAcentral
UACAGAGGUCUCAAGCGUUGUUCGGAUUCAUUGGGCGUAAAGGGUGCGUAGGUGGCGGGGUAAGUCUGGUGUGAAAUCUCGGGGCUCAACCCCGAAACUGCACUGGAUACUGCCUUGCUCGAGUACCGGAGAGGAGAUUGGAAUUUACGGUGUAGCAGUGAAAUGCGUAGAUAUCGUAAGGAAGACCAGUGGCGAAGGCGAAUCUCUGGACAGUUACUGACACUGAGGCACGAAGGCCAGGGGAGCAAACGGG